Molecule: long non-coding RNA, 430 nt
Filed under: Sorghum bicolor (sorghum)
Lineage: Eukaryota; Viridiplantae; Streptophyta; Magnoliopsida; Poales; Poaceae
Description: long non-coding RNA (SBIC_LNC002926)
Source: RNAcentral
AUAGUGAAUUCCACUGCGUUUGCAUAAGGGUGGCUGGGCCAGCCGUCCUUACAGAGUUUAUUUAGCCGCUCCUGCUGUGCCUGACUCUAGUAGUGACAGUUACUAAAAGCACAGUCCCAAGAGGCAAGCGCGAUUGAAAGAGUAGAGACGCAGAAAAUUAGGAAGUACUCGAGCCACUGUCUCUUGUAUUUUUCAACAGCUGGCUGGUUCUACCGCAUUUGAGCCCACUUUUAUGUGUACUAUAGAAGAGAAUAGAAAACGCGACCGAUCGAGAUGCUUAGGCCGGCCCGAAAAAGUCUUCCUCUUUGCCCCGGAUCACUUUGCAUCAGCAUAUGCCAGAACUAGCUAGGUGGAACAACACAUACACAUGCAUUCCAUAAGAUUCUCCCGAUGCAUGCACUGCAAUGAUGCAAAGGCUAGCCAACGUAAC